This 465-nucleotide ribosomal RNA is filed under the name uncultured bacterium. RNAcentral describes it as "partial 16S ribosomal RNA". It matches the Rfam family "Bacterial small subunit ribosomal RNA", at positions 28 to 507 of the family's 1533-position model. The record is from RNAcentral.
AGCGAACGCUGGCGGCAUGCCUAACACAUGCAAGUCGCACGGGUCCGCUUCGGCCGGUUGCUGGCGGGCGGGUGAGGUACGCGUAGGGUUCUGUCUUCUGGGGGGUGAUAACCGCGGGAAACUGUGGCUAAGACCGCCUGACGCGCCGGUCUGAGAGCCGGUGCCAGAGGCGCCCAUCGCGAGGUGUGCGUCGCGGGAGGGUGAGCCCGCGUCGGAUUAGCGGUAUGGCGGGGGAAUGGGCCACCAAGGCGUCGAUCGGUAGCUGGUCUGAGAGGGUGAUCAGCGACACUGGGACUGAGACACGGCCCAGACUCCUACGGGAGGCAGCAGUGGGGAAUAUUGGAAAAUGGGGGCAAGCCUGAUCGAGCAAUGCCGCGUGAGUGAAGAAGGUCUUCGGGUUGUAAAGCCCUUUCGGCGGGGACGAUGGUGACGGUACCCGCAGAAGAAGCCCCGGCUAACUUCGUG